AGGGUUCGAUCAUGGCUCAGGAUGAACGCUGGCGGCGUGCUUAACACAUGCAAGUCGAACGAACCUUCGGGUUAGUGGCGGACGGGUGAGUAACGCGUGAGAAUCUGCCCUCAGGAGGGGGACAACAGCUGGAAACGGCUGCUAAUACCCCAUAUGCCGCGAGGUGAAAUGAAUUUCGCCUGAGGAUGAGCUCGCGUCUGAUUAGCUAGUUGGUGUAGGUAAUGGCUCACCAAGGCAUCGAUCAGUAGCUGGUCUGAGAGGAUGAUCAGCCACACUGGGACUGAGACACGGCCCAGACUCCUACGGGAGGCAGCAGUGGGGAAUUUUCCGCAAUGGGCGAAAGCCUGACGGAGCAACGCCGCGUGAGGGAUGAAGGCCUCUGGGCUGUAAACCUCUUUUAUCAAGGAAGAAGAUCUGACGGUACUUGAUGAAUAAGCCACGGCUAAUUCCGUGCCAGCAGCCGCGGUAAUACGGGAGUGGCAAGCGUUAUCCGGAAUUAUUGGGCGUAAAGCGUCCGCAGGCGGCCCUUCAAGUCUGCUGUUAAAAAGUGGAGCUUAACUCCAUCAUGGCAGUGGAAACUGUUGGGCUUGAGUGUGGUAGGGGCAGAGGGAAUUCCCGGUGUAGCGGUGAAUGCGUAGAUAUCGGGAAGAACACCAGUGGCGAAGGCGCUCUGCUGGGCCAUCACUGACGCUCAUGGACGAAAGCCAGGGGAGCGAAAGGGAUUAGAUACCCCUGUAGUCCUGGCCGUAACGAUGAACACUAGGUGUCGGGGGAAUCGACCCCCUCGGUGUCGUAGCCAACGCGUUAAGUGUUCCGCCUGGGGAGUACGCACGCAAGUGUGAAACUCAAAGGAAUUGACGGGGGCCCGCACAAGCGGUGGAGUAUGUGGUUUAAUUCGAUGCAACGCGAAGAACCUUACCAGGGUUUGACAUCCUGCGAAUCUCUUGGAAACAGGAGAGUGCCUUCGGGAACGCAGUGACAGGUGGUGCAUGGCUGUCGUCAGCUCGUGUCGUGAGAUGUUGGGUUAAGUCCCGCAACGAGCGCAACCCACGUCUUUAGUUGCCAGCAUUUAGUUGGGCACUCUAGAGAGACUGCCGGUGAUAAACCGGAGGAAGGUGUGGAUGACGUCAAGUCAUCAUGCCCCUUACAUCCUGGGCUACACACGUACUACAAUGCUACGGACAAAGGGCAGCAAGUUCGCGAGGACAAGCAAAUCCCAUAAACCGUGGCUCAGUUCAGAUCGUAGGCUGCAACUCGCCUACGUGAAGGCGGAAUCGCUAGUAAUCGCAGGUCAGCAUACUGCGGUGAAUACGUUCCCGGGCCUUGUACACACCGCCCGUCACACCAUGGAAGUUGGCCACGCCCGAAGCCGUUACUCCAACCCUUGUGGAGGAGGACGUCGAAGGUGGGGCUGAUGACUGGGGUGAAGUCGUAACAAGGUAGCC
Molecule: ribosomal RNA, 1445 nt
Filed under: uncultured bacterium
Lineage: Bacteria
Description: bacterial SSU rRNA
Rfam family: Bacterial small subunit ribosomal RNA
Source: RNAcentral